Oryza glumipatula is the source of this 195-nucleotide non-coding RNA. The record is from Rfam. NCBI's taxonomy places the organism in Eukaryota, Viridiplantae, Streptophyta, Magnoliopsida, Poales, Poaceae.
AAUAAAUAUAGUUUUACACUGUUCAUAUUUAAUGUUUGACCAUUUAUUUUAUUUGAUAAUUUUUUAUAAUUAAUAUUUUUAUUGUUAUUAGAUAAUAAAACAUGAAUGGUACUUUAUGCGUGACUACUUUUUCUAAUUUUUCAAAUAAGAUGAACGGUUAAACGUUGGACACAGAUACCAACGGCUGCACUUAUU